Molecule: RNA transcript, 1784 nt
Organism: Musa acuminata AAA Group (dessert banana)
Lineage: Eukaryota; Viridiplantae; Streptophyta; Magnoliopsida; Zingiberales; Musaceae
Gene name: 26S proteasome regulatory subunit S10B homolog B
Exons: 11
Source: RefSeq, a predicted model, not a curated record
UCGAUCUCCUUCUCCACGAUCGACCGACCGCGAGAGAGAGAGAGAGCGGCGCCGUAGCCGGCAUUGAUCCAUCAAGGGGAGGAAAGAUAUGGGCGACGGCGGAGAGGACGCCGUUCGGCGGCGAAACGCGGUGGCAGAGUACCGAAAGAAGCUCCUCCAGCACAAGGAGCUCGAUUCCAGGCUCAGGACACUACGCGAGAAUUUGAGGGCCUCAAAGAAGGAGUUCACUAAAACUGAAGAUGAUCUGAAGUCGCUCCAGAGUGUAGGGCAAAUUAUUGGAGAGGUUCUUAGGCCACUUGAUAAUGAGCGAUUUAUUGUCAAGGCAAGCAGUGGUCCGAGGUAUGUUGUUGGUUGCCGCAGUAAAGUGGACAAAGAGAAGCUGACAGCUGGAACACGGGUGGUUCUUGACAUGACUACUCUUACCAUUAUGCGUGCUCUUCCACGAGAGGUUGAUCCUGUUGUGUAUAACAUGCUUCAUGAAGAUCCUGGAAAUGUUAGCUACUCUGCUGUAGGUGGACUAUCUGAUCAGAUAAGGGAACUGAGAGAGUCCAUUGAACUGCCUCUUAUGAAUCCUGAACUCUUCCUUAGAGUAGGAAUCAAACCUCCAAAGGGAGUCCUUCUCUAUGGUCCCCCAGGAACUGGAAAGACAUUACUGGCUAGAGCAAUUGCUAGCAAUAUAGAUGCAAACUUUCUAAAGGUAGUCUCAAGUGCUAUAAUUGACAAAUAUAUAGGUGAAAGUGCCCGAUUGAUCAGGGAGAUGUUUGGCUAUGCACGUGAUCAUCAACCUUGCAUUAUUUUCAUGGAUGAAAUUGAUGCCAUUGGUGGGCGCCGGUUCAGUGAGGGUACCAGUGCUGAUCGUGAGAUUCAACGAACUCUAAUGGAACUACUCAAUCAAUUGGAUGGAUUUGAUCAACUUGGGAAGGUCAAAAUGAUCAUGGCCACAAAUCGACCUGAUGUCCUUGAUCCAGCUCUUCUUCGCCCUGGCCGGUUGGACAGGAAAAUUGAGAUUCCAUUACCAAAUGAACAGUCGAGGAUGGAAAUUCUUAAAAUUCAUGCUGCUGGAAUAGCGAAACAUGGUGAUAUCGACUAUGAAGCAGUUGUAAAACUUGCUGAGGGUUUUAAUGGAGCAGAUCUCCGGAAUGUAUGCACAGAGGCUGGUAUGUCAGCAAUUCGUGCAGAACGUGACUAUGUUAUUCAUGAAGACUUUAUGAAGGCUGUCAGGAAAUUGAAUGAAGCAAAGAAGCUUGAAUCAAGUGCUCAUUACAAUGCUGAUUUCGGCAAGGAUUAGGUUGCUCUUAAUUAUACCCAUUUUAGGAUCUUAAUGCUUGGAUCUCUUGUAGCUUUCGUUGCUCUGCACAUCUGACCUCAUUAAUUAGAUCUUCUGCUGUUUGUUGGAUCAAAGCUGAAUUGCUGAAGAAUCUCUUCCUGCCAGAACUUGUCCACGUGUGCAGUUGGAGAAACAGCCAAUGAGUACAUUGUAGACAUAGGCUGGGGUUUCUUUUCAGCUUAAAGCGUAAGCUAAGAGUUUCACAUGCCAGACCCACAAAGCCAGUGAAGGAAGAGGAGGAAGGAAGCAGGAAGCACUAGGAAGAGACGCAGAAGCAUAUACCCAUCGGCCAAGAUUGUUCACAAACAUGGAACCCCUGAAGUAUGUUUGUUAAAUGUUUUCUUUUUUUUUUUUUAAUGGUUUGGAUUAGACCGUUCAAAAUGGUUAGGGGUGUUUAUAUGUUUGUUAAAUAUUUUAUUAUUAUUAUUAUUAUUAUUAUUAUUAUUAUUAUUUUUAA